Molecule: long non-coding RNA, 1357 nt
Filed under: Marmota monax (woodchuck)
Lineage: Eukaryota; Metazoa; Chordata; Mammalia; Rodentia; Sciuridae
Source: RNAcentral
ACUUUUAUUUUAUUUUAUUUUUGGUAGUGCUGGGGAUCAAACAGGGCCUUGAGCACAUGCUGGGCAAAUGCUUUACCACUGAGCGCUAUCCCCAACCCAAUAGUUAACUUUUAUUGAAUUCUUACUAUAUGCUAGACACUACCACACUUUUAUGUGCAUCAUCUUGUUUAACCCUUAAAAUAGACUUAUAAGGGAGAGUUUAAUAUUGUUUUCUUUAAUUAAUGAAUGAGGAAUCUAGUUAGAGCUAAGACUCAGACCUAGGUCAAUAUCACUGUAGAGCCCAUGUCCUUACUAUAAGCCCAUGUCCUUAAUACUAAUCUUUUUAGUAUUAUGAAUAAUUCUUCCAUGAAAACAUAGUUGCAGUAAUACAGCUACUGCUGCAUCCUCAAAUAGGAAAUUUUCCAUCCCUAGGCUGUGAGUGGUUCCUUAUAUCUUCUUUUUUUUUUUCCUUAUAUCUUCUUAUAUUUUUAUAUUUUCAGUUUCUGCUUAUUGGAUAGAUCUUCAGAAAAUUUGGAUUCAUACUUGGAGAACUACAUUCAUAUCCGAGUGUGACUCCUUUGUAAUUUAUUACUUCAUUUCUAUAAAAUUUAUUUCUAUCUAGUCUAUUUUCAGGAUACUAAUGUGAAUAUAACUUAGUUUCUGCUCUCAAGGAUCUCGUAAUCUAGACCAUAAAACAAUAUAACAUUAAAGUACUUUAUGUCAGCAGUAGAGUAAUUGAACUAUGUGCAAUCUAUAGUUGAGGUGCCAGAUCAACCCUAUCUAGAAACAACUGCAAGGAAGUGUAAUUUCAAAACAGGUUGGUUAGGCAGACUUAAGAGGAGUAUGGAGAAAGUCCUAAUAAUAGGUUUAGUUAACUAUUUUUUUCUAUUCUGAUUGUUCCUUUUUUUAAAUUUAAGAAAGUCUGAUAGUAUAUCUUUGCAUAAAAUAAAAGCUUUUUUAGGGAUUUUUACAUACACACAGGAAUGUUAUUGAACCAUUUAAAAAAAAAAAAGAAUGAAAUCCUAUAAUUUGUAGCAAAAAUAGAUGUAACUAGAGGACAUUGUUAAGUAAGCCAGACCAAAAAAGAUAAGUACCGCAUGUUCUCUCUUACGUGGAAGUUUUAAAAAGUUGACUUGAGUGUAGAAUACUGAUAAUUAUCAUUUGGAAAGAGGUGAGGGAUAAAGAGAGACUACAUUUGAUCAGUGCUCAUCAUAUAUAUGUGUUGAACUAUCAUUCCAUUAAUAUGUACAAUUAAUACAUUAAUAAAAAUAAAUAAAAGGAAAUAAGGUCAAAUUGUCUUUAUUUGGCCAUAUCAUCAUACAUAGAAAUUUUAUAGCUUUGCCAUUGAGGUCAUCAGCGAUUAUAUAUCACAUUUAUU